This 189-nucleotide ribosomal RNA is filed under the name uncultured Bacteroidota bacterium. RNAcentral describes it as "uncultured Bacteroidetes bacterium partial 16S ribosomal RNA". It matches the Rfam family "Bacterial small subunit ribosomal RNA", at positions 338 to 524 of the family's 1533-position model. Lineage: Bacteria; Pseudomonadati; Bacteroidota. The record is from RNAcentral.
CCUACGGGAGGCAGCAGUGAGGAAUAUUGGUCAAUGGAGGCAACUCUGAACCAGCCAUCCCGCGUGCAGGAUGACGGCCCUAUGGGUUGUAAACUGCUUUUCUACGCCAAGAACUGUCGCUACGCGUAGCGAUUUGACGGUAGCGUAGGAAUAAGCAUCGGCUAACUCCGUGCCAGCAGCCGCGGUAAU